AUCCCAUGAAGAGAUCACUUACGAAGUAACUCUUUGAAUCUUCCCCACGCCUCGUAUAAGGAUUCAUCAUCCAAUUGUGAAAAAGUGGAUGUCUCAUUUUGCAACU
RNAcentral lists this small nucleolar RNA (106 nucleotides) under Gossypium hirsutum (cotton). RNAcentral's name for it is "Plant small nucleolar RNA R71". It matches the Rfam family "Plant small nucleolar RNA R71". Rfam says of the family: R71 is a member of the C/D box family of snoRNAs containing the C (UGAUGA) and D (CUGA) box motifs. Multiple nearly identical copies of this snoRNA have been identified in Arabidopsis, and it is thought to function as a 2'-O-ribose methylation guide for 18S ribosomal RNA. Lineage: Eukaryota; Viridiplantae; Streptophyta; Magnoliopsida; Malvales; Malvaceae. The record is from Rfam by way of RNAcentral. RNAcentral also lists the same sequence under 1 other name.